RNAcentral lists this unclassified non-coding RNA (1438 nucleotides) under uncultured Neocallimastigales. RNAcentral's name for it is "partial contains small subunit ribosomal RNA, internal transcribed spacer 1, 5.8S ribosomal RNA, internal transcribed spacer 2, and large subunit ribosomal RNA". The stretch from base 661 to 1438 matches the Rfam family "Eukaryotic large subunit ribosomal RNA", at positions 1 to 628 of the family's 3401-position model. The record is from RNAcentral. Lineage: Eukaryota; Fungi; Neocallimastigomycota; Neocallimastigomycetes; Neocallimastigales.
UUUCCGUAGGUGAACCUGCGGAAGGAUCAUUAAAAAAUUGGACUCCAUUGGUGAGUUCAUUAAUAAUCCCUACCCUUUGUGAAUUUGUUUGUUUGAAUAAUUUUUUUUCCAAAAAAAAUUAUUGAAUGUCUUUCCUUGUUUUGGUGGAGCUUGUAAAGUGAAACCAGGCAGGGGAAUGGCAAACAAUAAUUAUUUUUGAAAAAGACCUUUUUUUAAAAUUAAACUUUUUGUAUUCAUUUGUCUAAAAUUAAUUUUUAUAAUAUAAAAACAACUUUUGACAAUGGAUCUCUUGGUUCUCGCAACGAUGAAGAACGCAGCAAAAUGCGAUAAGUAGUGUGAAUUGCAGAAUACGUGAAUCAUCGAAUCUUCGAAUGCAUAUUGCACUUUUUUAGUUUACUAAAAAAGUAUGUCUGUUUGAGUAUCAGUAAAAUAUUCUCAUAAAAAACAUUGUUUUUUUUAUGGUUAUGAGUGUUUUACAACGAUAACAAGUUGUUUCACUUUAAAUUCUUUGUUAUCAAAAAAUCAUUAAAAGCUAAUUUUAAAGAUUUUUUAAAAUUGGAUAAAAUUUUCCCGUAAAAAGGAAUAACCUAAACAAUUUUAAAAAAUUAAAAUUGGUUUGAUUUUUUUUGAAACCCAAAGGAAAAAAAAACGAAAUUAACUUGAUCUCAAAUCAGAUAAGAGUACCCGCUGAACUUAAGCAUAUCAAUAAGCGGAGGAAAAGAAACUAACUAGGAUUCCCUCAGUAACGGCGAGUGAAGCGGGAAGAGCUCAAAUUUGAAAUCUUCAAGGUUUUACCUUGACGAAUUGUAGUUUAAAGAAGUGUUUUCUGUUGGAGUUUUGGUAAAAGUUCUUUGGAAAAGGACAUCAUAGAGGGUGAGAAUCCCGUAUUUGACCAUUAUCUCCAGCUUUGUGAUACACUUUCAAAGAGUCGGAUUGUUUGGGAAUGCAGUCCAAAAUGGGUGGUAAAUUUCAUCUAAAGCUAAAUACUGGCGAGAGACCGAUAGCGAACAAGUACCGUGAGGGAAAGAUGAAAAGAACUUUGAAAAGAGAGUUAAACAGUACGUGAAAUUGUCAAAAGGGAAGCGUUUGACACCAGUGUUGUUUUCUCGAAAAUCAAUUAAAAAAGGCCGGAUUUUGUGUUGUAUUGACUUUAUCAGCUUUCUGCACUCUUUUCUUGUCUUUUUUAAUGCACUUUUCGUUUAACAAGUCAACAUCAAUUUCUUUUGUUGUAAAAGGGUCAUUGGAAGGUGGCUUUCUUUUCGGAGAAAGUGUCUAUAGCCUUUGGCCUCUGCAAUCGGAGAGAUUGAGGUCUGCAGCGUAGAUCCUUCGGGGUUAGAUACAUUUGUGCUAAGUUAUAGCCUUUCAUAGACAACUUGUUGACUAUGAUCAGUCAUGUAGCUUACUCGCUUAUGCUAUUUUACCUACGCUUAGGAUGUUG